RNAcentral lists this unclassified non-coding RNA (330 nucleotides) under soil metagenome. RNAcentral describes it as "partial contains 5.8S ribosomal RNA, internal transcribed spacer 2, and large subunit ribosomal RNA". The stretch from base 1 to 121 matches the Rfam family "5.8S ribosomal RNA", at positions 35 to 154 of the family's 154-position model. The record is from RNAcentral.
GAUGAAGAACGUAGCGAAAUGCGAUAAGUAAUGCGAAUUGCAGAAUUCCAGUGAAUCAUCGAAUCUUUGAACGCACAUUGCGCCCCUUGGUAUCCCGAGGGGCAUGCCUGUUCGAGCGUCAUUUCACCACUCAAGCCUGGCUUGGUGUUGGGCGACGUCCUCUUUGGGGACGCGCCUCGAAACGCUCGGCGGCGUGGCACCGGCUUUAAGCGUAGCAGAAUCUUUCGCUUUGGAAGUCGGGGCCCCGUCUGCCGGAAGACCUGCUCGCAAGGUUGACCUCGGAUCAGGCAGGGAUACCCGCUGAACUUAAGCAUAUCAAUAAGCGGAGGA